RNAcentral lists this ribosomal RNA (446 nucleotides) under uncultured bacterium. RNAcentral's name for it is "partial 16S ribosomal RNA". It matches the Rfam family "Bacterial small subunit ribosomal RNA", at positions 330 to 792 of the family's 1533-position model. The record is from RNAcentral.
CCCAGACUCCUACGGGAGGCAGCAGUGGGGGAUAUUGCACAAUGGGGGGAACCCUGAUGCAGCGACGCCGCGUGGGUGAAGGAGCGUUUCGGCGCGUAAAGCCCUAUCGGCAGGGAAGAAGGAGGACGGUACCUGACUAAGAAGCCCCGGCUAACUACGUGCCAGCAGCCGCGGUAAUACGUAGGGGGCAAGCGUUAUCCGGAUUUACUGGGUGUAAAGGGGGCGCAGACGGCAGCGCAAGCCAGGAGUGAAAGCCCGGGGUCCAACCCCGGGACUGCUCUUGGAACUGCGCGGCUGGAGUGCAGGAGGGGCAGGCGGAAUUCCUGGUGUAGCGGUGAAAUGCGUAGAUAUCAGGAGGAACACCGGUGGCGAAGGCGGCCUGCUGGACUGCGACUGACGUUGAGGCCCGAAAGCGUGGGGAGCAAACAGGAUUAGAUACCCCCGUA